Molecule: non-coding RNA, 133 nt
Organism: Ipomoea nil (Japanese morning glory)
Lineage: Eukaryota; Viridiplantae; Streptophyta; Magnoliopsida; Solanales; Convolvulaceae
Source: Rfam
GUGAGCCGCAUGCGGGGAGACCCGCAUGUACGGUUCUAAGGGGGAUCCGGUCGAAAAACCGGCCAACACCCAUCCGACUAGAGGGACUGAGAAAUUAAUAGAGUACAAAAGUUAUCUUCAAGCUUUACCUUAU